CGGGAAAGGACGCUGCGGGCACUGUGUUAACUUACUGGUCUCUGAAGGUCCUACAGGAUGUCAAAGGUAGACACAUCCUUGAUACCGGCUGACAGGGACGGCGGCGGUCACGCGUCCUACGGCGGAGGCUACGGGCACGGGGGAUCCUACGGCCUGGACACGGUAUCCUUCCUGGCGAUCCUGACCUUCCUCUCCGCGCUGACCUACCUCCUGUAUUGGUGUGUCACGAACCCUGACCUCUGCUUCCCAAACCGAGCCCCCGCACCUUCCACCACCACCCCAGGCCCCUCCCCUGGCCCCCUUCUUGACCCCGGGUACGAAGGGUCACACAUCAGCCCCUGGGAUCACGAGGCCACGACUCUGCACCCCCUGAGUUACCUGGAGGCUGUCCCUGUGGCCCCCUGGAGUAAUUUUUCGUCCCUGGAUAAUUUGUUUCCUCCUCUGCCAGACUACUUGUAGAUGGUUGUGUGGUAGCGAUGAAUGGUAUGGUAGCCUGGUAGUAGUGGUAGAUAGUAACAGUAGGUAUGGUAGUAGGUGGUAGCCCCAUGGUAGUACAGUUGUAAUGGAUAGUAAAAGAUAAAUGGUAGCAAAUAAUGAACGUAGUAUAAAAUAGGUGUUUGAAAUAGUAUGGUUGUUAGGAUUUAAAAGACAGAAGAUGGUAGUAACAGUAGUAUGGUAGUAAGAGCAAAUAGUAGUUAUAGAUCCAAUAGACGAUAGAUGGUAGAAAUAGUAUGAUAGUUAUGGACUUAAUAGACCGAUGAUAGUAGUAAUUGUGGAAUGGUAGAAAAAACAAAGCAGUAGUAAUAGAUGCAAUAGACGAUAGAUGGUAGAAAUAGCAUAGUAGUUAUGGACUUAAUAGAUGAUAAUAGUUUUUUGUGGAAUGGUAGUAGUAGUAGUGAGGUAGUAAUAAUGAAUGUAGAAGAUAGGUUUUAAUAAUAGUAUAAUAGUUAAUGAUGUAGAUGGUAGAUGACAGUUAUGGUAUGGUGAUUAGUUAGCGUGCCAGGUCCAGGUUCGAAUCCCAGCCCGGACAGUCGGCGUGCAGCUCACCUACCUGUUCAUCCUCCCAUCCUGGUCGAUAAUUGGGUACCUGGGGACACCUGGGGAAGGGAAACUGUGAUAACCCGGAUGUCACGCUGUUCCUGUGUCCCUGGGUAAUGUGUUCUCCAGUGCCCCGGGGUAAUGUGUUCUGUGUCCCGGGGUUAUGUGUUCUCCUGUGUCCCGGGGUUAUGUGUUCUCCAGUGCCCCGGGGUAAUGUGUUCUGUGUUCCGGGGUUAUGUGUUCUCCUGUGCCCCGGGGUUAUGUGUUCUCCUGUGUCCCGGGGUAACGUGUUCUCCCUCACCAUAGACUCACGGGGCAAUGCAACGGAGAUGAGCACCGAGGCCACGGGCAGGUAUAACGUUUUCAUCACUGGGUACUUUUGUCUUCACUGUACAUGAGCCGUUCUGAAUGUCCCACACGCCUCGUUUUCUUUCUCAUUUUCACGUGGACCAAAGAAUUUUAUACCAUGCAAAGAUUUCUGUUGUGAUUUUAAAGUUUCUAGUUUUAUUAAGUUACUCCGGUCGAUCGUCCAGUCUGUUUGUCGACGUGCAGUCUCACUCAAGGUUGGAAGUAAAGUCUAGUUACGUGUUGUUGGUUUAUUUAUGUCCCUUUUUGUAUGUUUUUCU
This is a long non-coding RNA of Eriocheir sinensis (Chinese mitten crab), 1664 nucleotides long. RefSeq lists it as uncharacterized. The transcript has 3 exons. NCBI's taxonomy places the organism in Eukaryota, Metazoa, Arthropoda, Malacostraca, Decapoda, Varunidae. The record is from RefSeq and is a predicted model, not a curated record.